RNAcentral lists this long non-coding RNA (656 nucleotides) under Capsella grandiflora. RNAcentral's name for it is "long non-coding RNA (CGRA_LNC001206)". Lineage: Eukaryota; Viridiplantae; Streptophyta; Magnoliopsida; Brassicales; Brassicaceae. The record is from RNAcentral.
GACAGAGAUGCUCUACUACCUCUAGACGCUUUGCCAUGUAAUUGGCAUUCAAAAUUGCAAUCUUGGAGGCAUCAGUGAGUCCACCAGAUCCCAUCAUGGCAAUGUAAGUAUAAGAUAUUGGCAAGAUAAGCGCAGAUCCCCAUGGUGCAGCGGCUAUUGUACCCAACGGUUCUGUCUUCUCGGGUUGUGGGAAACCACCAGUAGAUAUCUUUUUACAUGGCAAUGGAGGAAACCCAACAAUAAGGAAUUUAAUGAUCAUUAACCAAGAUGCAUUACAGUGAUGAAGGAUCAAAGACUAACCACGGGGUGAGAAGGAAGAAAUGGUGCCAAAUGUUUCUUCACACCAAUGGGACCCAUACCAGGACCACCACCUCCAUGAGGAAUACAGAAGGUCUUGUGGAGAUUGAGAUGACACACAUCGGCUCCAAUAAAACCGGGACUUGUCAAGCCAACCUACACAAACCCAACACCAUGCUCUUUCAAAUAAGACAAAACCUUGAGAUCUCACCUGUGUUUACUGUUUUAUUAAGAUAUUUCACCUGUGCAUUCAUGUUGGCACCAUCCAUGUACACUUGACCUCCAAAUUCGUGUAUUAUGUUGCAAAUCUCGUCGAUACCCUCUUCAUAGACUCCAUGAGUUGAAGGGUAUGUAACCAU